UAGGAUUCCCUUAGUAGCGGCGAGCGAACAGGGAAGAGCCCAGCACCGAAUCCCGCGGCCGAUACCGGACGCCGGGAAAUGUGGUGUUAGGGAGGGUCCAUUAUCCUGAGAUUGUGUGAUGCGUCCAAGUCCUUCUUGAACGGGGCCACAGCCCAUAGAGGGUGCCAGGCCCGUAGUGACCAUUACCAAUCGCGGGAGGAUCUCUCCUUAGAGUCGGGUUGCUUGAGAGUGCAGCCCUAAGUGGGUGGUAAACUCCAUCUAAGGCUAAAUAUGACCACGAGACCGAUAGCGAACAAGUACCGUGAGGGAAAGUUGAAAAGAACUUUGAAGAGAGAGUUCAAUAGUACGUGAAACCGUUCAGGGGUAAACCUGAGAAACCCGAAAGGUCGACAGGGGAGAUUCAGCGUGUCUCGAUUCACACAUUGAAUUGUUGUGUGACGGGUGGUGUUUCGGCACGUGCCUGCGCCUUUAAUUCAUGUUCAGUGUUUCGAACGCGUGCACUUCUCCUCCAGUAGGACGUCGCGAUCCGUUGGGUGUCGGUCUAAGAGUUGCGGUGGAGUCCAUUUGACAACGUUUCGGCGUAUCGAAUGAACCCGUAAUUUCCGGCCGACUUGCUUGACGGUAUAGAUAAUGGCGCGGGGCCGCUACAUAUAGUUAGCGUUCGACCCAUAGCAAGCACUUUUGUUGUGUCGGUGAUCGGACCUAGUGCCGGUCCUGGCCGCAAUUGGCUGUUAGCUGUGGUGUUCUCGAACAGACCUCGUUGAAACGCCAAUCUGCGACGCUAUAGCUUUGGGUACUUUCAGGACCCGUCUUGAAACACGGACCAAGGAGUCUAGCAUGUGCGCAAGUCAUUGGGACAUGACUAAACCUAAAGGCGCAAUGAAAGUAAAAGUUUACCUUGCGUAAACUUAGGGAGGACGAGUAAUCGUUUCGGCUAUUGCUCCGCACUCCCGGGGCGUCUCAUUCUCAUUGCGAGAAGAGGCGCACCAAGAGCGUACACGCUGGGACCCGAAAGAUGGUGAACUAUGCCUGGUCAGGACGAAGUCAGGGGAAACCCUGAUGGAGGUCCGUAGCGAUUCUGACGUGCAAAUCGAUCGUCGGAACUGGGUAUAGGGGCGAAAGACUAAUCGAACCAUCUAGUAGCUGGUUCCCUCCGAAGUUUCCCUCAGGAUAGCUGGCGCUCGUAUUUACGAGUUUCAUCCGGUAAAGCGAAUGAUUAGAGGCAUUGGGGUCGAAACGGCCUCAACCUAUUCUCAAACUUUAAAUGGGUGAGAUCUCCGGCUUGCUCGAACUAUUGAAGCCGCGAGAAUCGAAUCAGAGUGCCAAGUGGGCCAUUUUUG
Molecule: ribosomal RNA, 1340 nt
Filed under: Lacconotus pallidus
Lineage: Eukaryota; Metazoa; Arthropoda; Insecta; Coleoptera; Mycteridae
Description: eukaryotic LSU rRNA
Rfam family: Eukaryotic large subunit ribosomal RNA
Source: RNAcentral